This 256-nucleotide ribosomal RNA is filed under the name uncultured Gardnerella sp. RNAcentral's name for it is "partial 16S ribosomal RNA". It matches the Rfam family "Bacterial small subunit ribosomal RNA", at positions 99 to 356 of the family's 1533-position model. Lineage: Bacteria; Bacillati; Actinomycetota; Actinomycetes; Bifidobacteriales; Bifidobacteriaceae. The record is from RNAcentral.
CGAACGGGUGAGUAAUGCGUGACCAACCUGCCCCAUGCUCCAGAAUAGCUCUUGGAAACGGGUGGUAAUGCUGGAUGCUCCAACUUGACGCAUGUCUUGUUGGGAAAGUGUUUAGUGGCAUGGGAUGGGGUCGCGUCCUAUCAGCUUAUAGGCGGGGUAAUGGCCCACCUAGGCUUCGACGGGUAGCCGGCCUGAGAGGGCGGACGGCCACAUUGGGACUGAGAUACGGCCCAGACUCCUACGGGAGGCAGCAGNG